Molecule: ribosomal RNA, 433 nt
Filed under: uncultured bacterium
Lineage: Bacteria
Description: partial 16S ribosomal RNA
Rfam family: Bacterial small subunit ribosomal RNA
Source: RNAcentral
AACGAACGCUGGCGGCAUGCCUAACACAUGCAAGUCGAACGAUCCCUUCGGGGCUAGUGGCGCACGGGUGCGUAACGCGUUGGAACCUGCCCUUAGGUUCGGAAUGACUCAGAGAAAUUUGAGCUAAUACCGGACAAUGUCUUCGGACCAAAGAUUUAUCGCCUUUGGAUGGGCCCGCGUUGGAUUAGCUAGUUGGUGGGGUAAAUGCCUACCAAAGCGACGAUCCAUAGCUGGUCUGAGAGGAUGAUCAGCCACACUGGGACUGAGACACGGCCCAGAAUUCUAAGGGAGGGAGGAAGGGGGGAUAAUGGAAAAAGGGGGGAAGCAUGAUCCAGCAAUGCCGCGUGAGUGAUGAAGGCAUUAGGGUUGUAAAGCGCUUUUAACCGGGAUGAUAAUGACAGUACCGGGAGAAUAAGCCCCGGCUAACUCCGUG